Molecule: unclassified non-coding RNA, 348 nt
Filed under: soil metagenome
Description: partial contains 5.8S ribosomal RNA, internal transcribed spacer 2, and large subunit ribosomal RNA
Rfam family: 5.8S ribosomal RNA (bases 1-120)
Source: RNAcentral
GAUGAAGAACGUAGCGAAAGGCGAUAAGUAAUGUGAAUUGCAGAAUUCAGUGAAUCAUCGAGUCUUUGAACGCACAUUGCGCCCCCUGGUAUUCCGGGGGGCAUGCCUGUCCGAGCGUCAUUGCCGCCCUCAAGCACGGCUUGUGUGUUGGGCCCCCGCCCCCCGGCUUCGGGGGGCGGGCCCGAAAGGCAGCGGCGGCACCGCGUCCGGUCCUCGAGCGUAUGGGGCUUCGUCACCCGCUCUGUAGGCCCGGCCGGCGCCCGCCGGCGACCCCAAUCAAUCUUUCCAGGUUGACCUCGGAUCAGGUAGGGAUACCCGCUGAACUUAAGCAUAUCAAUAAGCGGAGGA